CGGUCCUCUAAUGCGAGCUGCUGAGAGGGGGUGCAUGCAGGUGGUCAAAUGGUUCGUCAAUCGCGGAUGCCGUGACAUGGAGCUCUGCCUCGCCCUCACUGCUGCCACCUCUAGCAGCCAGGUGGAGAUUGCCACCUACCUUCUCCCUCACGUCCCCCAGCAUGUCCUUGCUGCUCUCAGCAUCGAGAUCAUCAAAGCAGCUGGCGAGAGGAGCAGUGGGUCCCUCGAAGGCGUUGCCUUCCUCCUCAGUUCCAACUUUCUCGGGGAUUCUGCCGCGACUUACAGCGUAGCGGACAGCAUUGCACGAUCGGAAGACGAGGCGGUGGCGCCAGAGCUGAGGGCCUUCUUGCGGAACCAUUGGUCAGAGGCAGCGUAUACCGAGGGAUUAAGCUCUGGGGAGGACUACUUUGUAAAUUUUAUGAGAAUUCUGAAGGGUGGUGCAUCACCGAUAUGUUUGCGGGACCUACCCGCCCCGCUUGUAAUUGCGAUAGCAUACCUGCCACUAUACCGAGAGUGUGUCGGGUCUGGCGGGCGGUUGCUGCCACAGAGACUGAGAGGGCAGCUUGUGGAGGCAGCGAGAAGACUAGGGCACGGGGCAGUGGACAAGGCAAGCCAGGGGGAUGAGCUCUUGGCGGUUUUGGAACACCAUCUGCCUCGCUUCUUCCUCGAUGCCGGCGCCCCCUAGGGGCGGAGAUGGUUUGAGGGUUGGCGUGUAUUUUGCAGUUUAUCCUUAAAUAUCUAUGUACGGUUUUACGAGAUUUCGGGCUGUAUGUGUUGAGGGUAUAGCAGUAGUUACUUGAG
This 801-nucleotide unclassified non-coding RNA is filed under the name Hevea brasiliensis (rubber tree). Lineage: Eukaryota; Viridiplantae; Streptophyta; Magnoliopsida; Malpighiales; Euphorbiaceae. The record is from RNAcentral.